GUUAUGCUUUCUGAAUUAUCCAUAUCAUAAAUUUUCCUUAAACAAUUCUCCUGUUCUUGAAUUAAAUGCAAUUCAGUAGUUCAAUUCUUAAUCUUAAUGACAAAUCUGAAUAAAACAAAGAAAUUUCAAAAGUUUUCCACUGAUUGGACAGCUAAGUACUUCUAGAAUAUUUUGUUCAAAGGAUUUACCAUAUAUAUGUGCCACGAAGCAGCGUUUUAGUGGCCAUCAUUUGGUCCGAGUCCAUGAGCCGCCAACCGAGUCAAAAAUCUCGCAUCGCUGACGCGUACCCUUCACACCCACUCUCCGUUUUCCCCUCGUUUUCCUGGAAAAUUCAUGUGCAAGUGAGCUGUUUCUGUCCCAUUCAAAAACGUGCUCCUAAAUAUCCAUAUAAAUACCAUCAAAUCUUUUUCCCCUCACCAUCUCCUUCAUUCAUCCAUUCCGCAACUCUCUUUCUCUCUCGCACUCGCUAUCUGAUUCUUGGUUUCGCUGAAUCCUCCUGAACUCGAUAUCUGUUGCUAUUGAUUUUUGAAGAUGAGUCCGAUGAAGUUGUAUGCUGCUGAAUUUGCUGGGUUUAUGUUGUUUGCACUCUUGCAGCUCGGCUAUGGACAAGGCCUGGCUCCUUCUCCUGCACCACAAGGCCCAACCAGCGAUGGCAAAAGUAUUGAUCAAGGAAUCGCUUACAUCCUUCUUCUAGUUGCUCUUGCAAUUACCUACCUCUUUCACUGAUUCUUUCAUCCAUUUAUUCGAUUUUUUUCUCUUGAAAUUCAUCAUUUAUUUGGAGAAAUUGCAGCUAUUUUGUAUCUGCUAGAUCCUUGUAAUUUGUAAAAAUAUAAUGAUUAUAUAUAUCAAUUUUUUUUCCUGGGCU
Manihot esculenta (cassava) is the source of this 865-nucleotide long non-coding RNA. RefSeq lists it as uncharacterized. Lineage: Eukaryota; Viridiplantae; Streptophyta; Magnoliopsida; Malpighiales; Euphorbiaceae. The transcript has 2 exons. The record is from RefSeq and is a predicted model, not a curated record.